CAUUAAAAAGGUUCUUAAAGAAACUCCUUUAAACAGGUUCUAGGUUCUAAAUGGGUCCUUUACAGUUCUUAGAUGGCCCCUGAAAUGUUUUCAGCUAUUUAUAAAAAAGGCUCUACGCUUCCAAAUACGUCCCCCAGUCCUAAUAAUUCCUUUAAAAAGUUCUAGGUUCUCGCUAAGGUUCCUGGGUUCCUAGAAACAUCAUAUAAAAUGGUUCUCAGUUUUCAAAAAAGUUCAAGAGUUCCUGGUUAAGUCUUUGAUGUUUCUCUAAAAUGUUCUGCGUUCUCUAAAAAAGCUCCUACAAACAAGGUCUAAUUUUCCUAAAAGGGUUCCUGGGUUCCUUCCAGUUCUUAGAUGGCACCUAAAAUGUUUUGAUCUUUUUUAUAAAAAAGUUCUAGGCUUCAGAAAAAAAUGUUCUUGGGGUCCUACAAGGUUACUUUAAAAAGAAUCUGGAUUCCCAGGUCUCAAAAAUUGUGAUACAAUGAUUCUGGCCCUCCAAAUGGGUUCCUGAAGUUUCAAAACGUGUCUCUAAAAAGCUUACGUGUUCCUGAGGGGCUCCCAGAUAGAUUUCCAAAACGUUAUUGGAUUUCAAAAAAGGUUCCUGAGUUCCUUCACAAGUUUUAUAUGACCCCUAAAAUCUUUUGAGCUCUUUUACAGAAAGGUUCUGUAGUUCCAAAAAUGUCCCCGAGUCCUACAAAGUUCCUUACAAUAGAUAAGAAGUUCCGGCUAAGGUUCCCCAGUUCCUAAAAGCAUUAUGUAAAAUGGUUCUGACUUACCAAAAAGGUUUAAGAGAUCCUGUUUAAGUCUUAACAUGUUUCUAUAAAUUGCUCUGUGUUUCCUAAAAAGCAGCUAACAGCUUUUGGGCUCUAAAAAGGGUUCCUGAAUUAUUUUAUAUUUCAUAGAUGACCCCGAAAAUGUUUUGAGCUUUUUAUAAAAAGGUUACUCAACAAAACAUUCUGGAUUCCCUGUUCCUUAAAUGUCAUCAAUUGUUCUGACCUUCUGAAAAAAAUCCUGAAAUUUGAAGUCUCCAUAAAAAGGUUCUGUGUUCCGCAGGAACUUGGUGUCUGUUAAAGUUCUUGGAUGGCUGCUAAAAUGUUUUGAGCUUUUUAUAGAAAGGUUCUACACUUCUGAAUAUGUUCUUGAGGGUCCUACAAAGUUCUUCCCAGAUUCCUGUAAACGUCAUUAAAAAAUGGCUUCGGCUCUCCAAAAAGGUUCCUGACUUUCAUAAAAGUUUGUAAAAAAGUUAUGUGUCCCUGGGGAGCUGCUGAAAAAAAUCACAGAUGUUUCUGGGCGUCCAAAAAAGGUUCCUUUGUUCCUUUACAAUUCUAAAAUGCUCACCAAAAUGUUUUGAGCUUUUUAUAAAAUGCUUCUAGGCUAACAAACAUGUUCUUGGGAUCCAACAAAAUUCCUUAAAAGUUCCAUUAAGAGCAUUCUGCGAGUCUGAAAAGGUUCCUGACUUUCCUUUACAGUUCCUCGAUAUCCCCCAAAAUGCUUUGAAACAAUGACCCUGAAAGGUUCCUGUGUACUUUAAGGGUCCUUACAAAGACCGUGAAAGGUUCCUGUGUUCUUUAAGGGUCCCUACAAAGAUACUGAAAUGUUCCUGUGUUCUUUAAGGGUCCCUACAAAGACCCUGAAAGGUUCCUGUGUUCUUUAAGGGUCCCUACAAAUACCCUGAAAGGUUCCUGUGUUCUUUAAGGGUCCCUACGAAGAUACUGAAAUGUUCCUGUGUUCUUUAAGGGUCCCUACAAAGACCCUGAAAGGUUCCUGUGUUCUUUAAGGGUCCCUACAAAGACCCUGAAAGGUUCCUGUGUUCUUUCCCUACAAAGACCGUAAAAGGUUCCUGUGUUCUUUAAGGGUCCCUAAGAAGAUACUGAAAUGUUCCUGUGUUCUUUAAGGGUCCCUAAGGAGAUACUGAAAUGUUCCUGUGUUCUUUAAGGGUCCCUACAAAGACCCUGAAAUGUUCCUGUGUUCUUUAAGGGUCCCUACAAAGACCAUAAAAGGUUCCUGUGUUCUUUAAGGGUCCCUACAAAGACCCUGAAAUGUUCCUGUGUUCUUUAAGGGUCCCUACAAAGACCCUGAAAUGUCCCUGUGUUCUUUAAGGGUCCCUACAAAGACCCUGAAAGGUUCCUGUGUUCUUUAAGGGUCCCUACAAAGACCGUAAAAGGUUCCUGUGUUCUUUAAGCGUCCCUACAAAGACCCUGAAAGGUUCCUCUGUUCUGGUUCUAAAAACUCAUCCCAGUGUUUCAACUUCAUGAAGCAGAACUGUUGGAGGAGGAAGUAA
Epinephelus moara (kelp grouper) is the source of this 2278-nucleotide long non-coding RNA. RefSeq lists it as uncharacterized. Lineage: Eukaryota; Metazoa; Chordata; Actinopteri; Perciformes; Serranidae. The record is from RefSeq and is a predicted model, not a curated record. The transcript has 3 exons.